GGGAGCGUCCACGACGCGAAUCUAUACGUGCAGGUGUAUAGUGUUCGCGUAGGUUGCAUGUUUUUUUAAUUCAGA
Molecule: long non-coding RNA, 75 nt
Organism: Maniola jurtina (meadow brown)
Lineage: Eukaryota; Metazoa; Arthropoda; Insecta; Lepidoptera; Nymphalidae
Exons: 3
Source: RefSeq, a predicted model, not a curated record